CCCGCACAAGCGGUGGAGCAUGUGGUUUAAUUCGAUGAUACGCGAGGAACCUUACCUGGGCUCAAAUGUAUGUUGACGUAUUCUGAAAGGGAUACUUCUUCGGACAAUAUACAAGGUGCUGCAUGGUUGUCGUCAGCUCGUGCCGUGAGGUGUCGGGUUAAGUCCCAUAACGAGCGCAACCCCUAUCAUUAGUUGCCAUCAGGUCAAGCUGGGGACUCUAAUGAAACUGCCUACGCAAGUAGUGAGGAAGGUGGGGAUGACGUCAAGUCCUCAUGGCCCUUACGGGCUGGGCUACACACGUGCUACAAUGGUGGUGACAGUGGGCAGCGAGACCGCGAGGUCGAGCUAAUCUCCAAAAGCCAUCUCAGUUCGGAUUGCACUCUGCAACUCGAGUGCAUGAAGUUGGAAUCGCUAGUAAUCGCGGAUCAGCAUGCCGCGGCGAAUACGUUCCCGGGCCUU
RNAcentral lists this ribosomal RNA (459 nucleotides) under uncultured Sphingobacteriales bacterium. Its description in RNAcentral is "bacterial SSU rRNA". It matches the Rfam family "Bacterial small subunit ribosomal RNA", at positions 920 to 1382 of the family's 1533-position model. Lineage: Bacteria; Pseudomonadati; Bacteroidota; Sphingobacteriia; Sphingobacteriales. The record is from RNAcentral.